Molecule: long non-coding RNA, 1107 nt
Filed under: Pectinophora gossypiella (pink bollworm)
Lineage: Eukaryota; Metazoa; Arthropoda; Insecta; Lepidoptera; Gelechiidae
Description: uncharacterized LOC126370355
Source: RNAcentral
CAGAACAAUAACUAAAGCAUAGAAGGAAGGCUAAAAUAAGAAUUCAGAAACUAUAAACCGGCUCUCUUCUAGCUUACGACACAAACUAUGAGUGAGAAAAGGACAAAUGAUUCGCUCUUUGCUUCAUUUUUUCCGAGGUUGUCACAACAUGAAAUGUCAUUUGGACCUAUUGGACUCAUUUUAACUCGGCCAAAUACAUAGUAACAUACAUAAGAAGAUUUUACUUAUAUUUACCGAACUAUUUGACACGGUCGCGUCAACUGUGUUUACGAGUGUCUUGUGUUCAGAUUGUUUUAAGUGAUAAUUUAACAAUAUUUUUCCAAAUAAAUGGAAAGAAACUUUUAUUUAUAUCAAAUAAUUGAGUGUCUCGACUGUGUGACAUUAUGUCUUGUGUGGUAUGGGGCUGCAGCUCACAUUCAGGAAGAAAAGAAAAUAGCCAACAACUUCUGUCGUUUCAUCGAUAUUAAAUCCAAAAGUGUCGACUGGAUUUACAUGAAAAGUCAGUUCAAGAAGACGAGAUGAAAAAUUUAAAAGAAAAGCUGAACAAGUCCCGCCUCAAGAUCAAACGACUUAAUGAAAAAAAAAAAACAAUGUGACAGGGUGUCACAAAGACAGUUUCUAAGCAAAUUGACACUGUUUAGAAAUUAAUAAAUUUGUAUUUAUUGUAAAUAUAAUGUACAUAAUUAAUAACGUGUGAAAUAAAUACUUGCUAAUGAAAAUGAACAGAUUUACGAUCUAAUUUAUAUUUCAUUUUACCUCCUGUUCUUAUUUACUCCUACUCCAACACUCCAGGUUGAUACGAACUGCGCCCAAUAAAGAAUGUAAUGAAUGUUAUAGAUUUGUGUAAGCGACUUAGAUAAAUCUUGACUAAACCUUCCUUUACAAAUACAAAUAUACUUUAUUGCACACAACAUACAAUACUUACAAGUUUUACACGAAAGAUACAGUACACCACCUACCUACCUUUUACUUUCCCUUUCUGUUCUCUUAUGAAUACUUGUAUGCCGUAUUUUUUAAGUAUAAUGCUAUAUCUAGUAGGUACGAGUAUGGUAAUCCUAGUAUUGAAACAGCUUGUAGCCCUAGUAAAGACCGCCAUUUUAUGUUUAC